Piliocolobus tephrosceles (Ugandan red Colobus) is the source of this 659-nucleotide long non-coding RNA. RefSeq lists it as uncharacterized. Lineage: Eukaryota; Metazoa; Chordata; Mammalia; Primates; Cercopithecidae. The record is from RefSeq and is a predicted model, not a curated record. The transcript has 3 exons.
GGAAGGGGUUUUGCUAUUUAAAGAAGAAAAAGACUACAACGCUAAUGACAACUACAAUGAUAAAAACAAUGACGAUGAUUCAGGAAUUUGCAUUGAUACCCACCCCUGAUGUUUGAAUCCUAGAUGGGCUGACUCCAGCAAAAUGGAAAAAGCACGUAGAGCCAGGCCUAUCUCUAGAGAGGAUUUCCCCAUGUUGUUCAGAGUGGUCUCAAACUACUGGGCUCAAGGGAUCCUCCUGCCUCAGCCUCCCAAAAUGCUGGGAUUCCAGAAACAAGGACGUUCUCCAUAACCAUGAGACCACCAUGGAAACGAUCAGCACCAUCGAAUUCUCACGCCCCACUCAAGUUCCUUGAUUAUUUCAAUAAUGUCCUCCAUAGCAAAAGGAUCUAGUUCAAAAUCGGAAGCUACAUUUUAUUGUCGUGCCUAAAACAUAAGAAUUGCUCAUUUACUUUGGAGCAGUUCUUCAGUCUAUCCUUGAUUUUCAUGACCUUGACACUUUUGAACAUUAUAGACCAGUUAUUCUCUAGAAUAUCUUUCAAUCUGGAUUUGUCAGAUACCUCUUUAUUAUUAAACUGAAAUGAUACAUUUUUGGUGGAAAUGUCACAGAAUUGACAUUGCACUCUCCUCAUUACAUCCUGUCUGGUGGCCUGUGAUUCUAU